Molecule: ribosomal RNA, 1435 nt
Filed under: metagenome
Description: bacterial SSU rRNA
Rfam family: Bacterial small subunit ribosomal RNA
Source: RNAcentral
AGAGUUUGAUCAUGGCUCAGGAUGAACGCUGGCGGCGUGCCUUAGGCAUGCAAGUCGAACGAUCCCGCUUCGGUGGGAGAGUGGCGGACGGGUGAGUAACGCGUGGGAAUCUACCCUCUGGUGGGGAAUAACUCCGCGAAAGCGGGGCUAAUACCGCAUAAUCUCUUCGGAGCAAAGGGCAUAACUGCCCGCCAAUGGAGGAGCCCGCGUCCUAUCAGCUUGUUGGUGGGGUAAUGGCCUACCAAGGCGAUGACGGGUAGCUGGUCUGAGAGGAUGGUCAGCCACAAGUGCACUGAGACACGGGCACUACACCUACGGGUGGCAGCAACCGGGAAUAUUGCGCAAUGGACGAAAGUCUGACGCAGCGACGCCGCGUGGGGGAUGAAGGCCUUCAGGUCGUAAACCUCUUUUAUUUAAUUGUCAUGAUUAGACGAAUAAGCACCUGCAAACUACGUGCCAGCAGCCGCGGUAAUACGUAGGGUGCAAGCGUUAUCCGGAUUUAUUGGGCGUAGAGCGUUUCGUAGGUGGUUUGGUAAGUAGUGGGUUAAAUCCCCAGGCUCAACCUGGGAGAAGCUCAUUAAACUGCCAGACUGGAAGGUUGGAGGGGAGGCUGGAAUUCUGCAUGUAGGGGUGAAAUCCGUUGAUAUGCAGAAGAACACCGAGGGCGAAGGCAGGCCUCUGGACAACCCUUGACACUCAUGAACGAAAGCUAGGGGAGCAAAUGGGAUUAGAGACCCCAGUAGUCCUAGCCGUAAACGAUCCUUGCUAGCUGGUCGAUCUUUUGAUUGACUGGCGUAAGCUAACGCGUUAAGCAAGGCGCCUGGGAAGUACGGCCGCAAGGCUAAAACUCAAAGGAAUUGACGGGGAGAUGCACAACCAGUGGAGCAUGUGGUUUAAUUCGACACGAAGCGUAGAACCUUACCUGGACUUGACAUGCUAGCUGCACGCUUACCGAAAGGCGAGUUUCCUUCGAGGGUGCUAGCACAGCUGCUGCAUGGCUGUCGUCAGCUCGUGCCGUGGGGUGUUCCCUUAAGUGGGGUAACGAGCGCAACCCUUGCCCUGUGUUAGAUUUGUCACAGGGGACUGCCUCGAUCAUAUCGGGGAGGAAGGAGAGGAUGACGUCAAGUCAGCAUGGUGUUUAUGCCCAGGGCAACACACAUCCUACAAUGGGGGGGACAGCGGGUUGCGAAGCCGUAAGGUGGAGCCAAUCCCUAAAACCUCUCCUCAGUUCGGAUUGAGGGCUGAAAUUCGCCCUCAUGAAGUCGGAAUUGGUAGUAAUCGCGGGUCAGCAGACCGCGGUGAAUACGUUCUCAUCUCUUGUACACACCGCCCGUCAAGCGAGGAAAGUUGGGGGUGGCCGAAGUCUUCACUUUGUGAGGCCUAAGCCAAACUCAGCGAUCAGCACUAAGUCGUAACAAGGUAACCGUACUAGUAC